UACCUACGGGGCGCAGCAGUGGGGGAUAUUGCACAAUGGGGGGAACCCUGAUGCAGCGACGCCGCGUGGGUGAAGAAGCGCCUCGGCGCGUAAAGCCCUGUCAGCAGGGAAGAAAAUGACGGUACCUGAAGAAGAAGCCCCGGCUAACUACGUGCCAGCAGCCGCGGUAAUACGUAGGGGGCAAGCGUUAUCCGGAUUUACUGGGUGUAAAGGGGGCGCAGAGGGCGAUGCAAGCCAGGAGUGAAAGCCCGGGGCCCAACCCCGGGACCGCUCUUGGAACUGCGCGGCUGGAGUGCAGGAGGGGG
Molecule: ribosomal RNA, 305 nt
Filed under: uncultured bacterium
Lineage: Bacteria
Description: bacterial SSU rRNA
Rfam family: Bacterial small subunit ribosomal RNA
Source: RNAcentral